UACGUAGGGUGCAAGCGUUAAUCGGAAUUACUGGGCGUAAAGCGUGCGCAGGCGGUUUUGUAAGUCAGAUGUGAAAUCCCCCGGGCUUAACCUGGGAACUGCGUUUGAAACUACAAGGCUAGAGUGUGGCAGAGGGGGGUGGAAUUCCACGUGUAGCAGUGAAAUGCGUAGAGAUGUGGAGGAACACCGAUGGCGAAGGCAGCCCCCUGGGUUAACACUGACGCUCAGGCACGAAAGCGUGGGGAGCAAACAGG
This 254-nucleotide ribosomal RNA is filed under the name uncultured bacterium. Its description in RNAcentral is "partial 16S ribosomal RNA". It matches the Rfam family "Bacterial small subunit ribosomal RNA", at positions 524 to 776 of the family's 1533-position model. The record is from RNAcentral.